This 495-nucleotide ribosomal RNA is filed under the name uncultured bacterium. RNAcentral describes it as "partial 16S ribosomal RNA". It matches the Rfam family "Bacterial small subunit ribosomal RNA", at positions 28 to 507 of the family's 1533-position model. The record is from RNAcentral.
GAUGAACGCUGGCGGCGUGCUUAAUACAUGCAAGUCGAGCGAACAGAUGAGGAGCUUGCUCCUCUGACGUUAGCGGCGGACGGGUGAGUAACACGUGGAUAACCUACCUAUAAGACUGGGAUAACUUCGGGAAACCGGAGCUAAUACCGGAUAAUAUAUUGAACCGCAUGGUUCAAUAGUGAAAGACGGUUUUGCUGUCACUUAUAGAUGGAUCCGCGCCGCAUUAGCUAGUUGGUAAGGUAACGGCUUACCAAGGCAACGAUGCGUAGCCGACCUGAGAGGGUGAUCGGCCACACUGGAACUGACACGGUCCAGACUCCUACGGGAGGCAGCAGUAGGGAAUCUUCCGCAAUGGGCGAAAGCCUGACGGAGCAACGCCGCGUGAGUGAUGAAGGUCUUCGGAUCGUAAAACUCUGUUAUUAGGGAAGAACAAAUGUGUAAGUAACUAUGCACGUCUUGACGGUACCUAAUCAGAAAGCCACGGCUAACUACGUG